ACACAAAACGGACCAAAAUAAAUGCUUUGCUUCCCUAAAAGGGGCAAGACAUCCCCCCUGGGACUGGCAGAGGUGGUACCGGCAUAAGGGAGGGCGAAACCGCUCGCUGGUCACGUGACCUACCCUCCCGGAUUGGGCGGCUCCAGACAGGGAAGGGGAGCUCGACGCCCCAGUUCUCGGUUUGGCCACGCCCCCCGCCCUGGUGAGACCACGCCCCCCACAGGGGGCGGAUCUAGAGAGAUCCCGACCGGCCCGCGCCCCGAAGGCUGCCCAGGGAAAGAGCAGUGAGCAGGAAUGAGUGGGGCACAUUCCUGAGCUCCUACUUAUUUAAUUCUCAUGGCAGUGCUAUGAAGUACUGGCAUUUCCCCCGCUUUAUAGUAGUGGAAACAGAUUCAGGGUCGCAGAGUUGAGAUAGGAACCAAGGCAGCUUUAGCGACUUUACUGUGCAAUGAUAUCAAUACUAGCUUCUUGAUGAACUCCCUGUGGACCAUCCCUGGGAAGGGGUGAGAAGCAAAUAUUUAUUGAGUCCCAGUGAUGUAUCUGGCGCUGUCCUAGGCACUGAGGAUACAAACGUGAACACGUGCACCCUCUGCCCACCGGGAGGUUACGCUCUGCAGAGGAGACAGAUGGUAAGUGAUCGCUAAAAUGACAAUUAGCGCUGGUGGCUUGGAAGUGCCAUUUACUGAGAGCAGAACAUUUGGGAGGGGACACAUUUAGGGAGGCAAAUCAAGAGUUUUAGGUUGGACGUGUUAGGUUUGAGGUGCCUAGGAGAGGUGCAAGGAAGAAUGUCCGGUAGGUGGCUGUUGGAGCAGGGCUGGGGCUCAGCAGAAGAGUCUGAGUUGGAAUAGAGCCUUGGGAAGGUGUGGUAUUUUAGAGCCGAUGAAGUCAUAAAGAGGUUCAGGGAAAAGACAAGAUGGCCUAAUACCAAGCCCUGUGGAACUCCAACAUUAGAGGUCAGGCAGAGGAGAACAAGCUGCCAAAGGAGAAGCAGAGAGCUAAGAAAAAAGUCAGGAGAAUGUGGAGUUCUGGAACCCAAAAGGAAAGAGGCUUCCAAGAAGGGAAUGGGCAACUGUGUUGAGUGAGUGCUGCAGAGAUGAAGCAAGACUGGCCUGGGAAGUGCCCACAGGAUUGGAAAACGUGGAGGCCCCUGGUGGAUGCUCUGCUUGCAGUGGGCUGCAGCCCACGUGUCUCUCCGCAUGUGCAGACUUGGUGAUUGUCCAGCUGCAGGCUGAAGAUCUCCAUCUGGAUGCUCACGGACGGUGGUGUGUUGGAGUCAGCUCGUGCCAGCUCAGACCAGCUCACAAGAGCCCAUUGUAUACCUCUCUUCCCAACUCCUUGUUCAGUGAGGUCACGUUGAUAGUAGUAACUUGUCAUUGUCAUGGUGAGAGUGUUCAUACCAUGGAAAUCGGCAAAUACUUCAGAUCGGGGCUCCAUCUCCUCAAAGAGUUGUUGUUAAAACAUUUACUGAACACCGCUGUUCACAGAUGUCUUACACUCAACAUAUUCGAAACUAAAUUAAUCCUUUUCCACCUCACCCCACCCUGCCCAACCCUACCCCUUCUCUGAAUCUCUUGGCCCAGUUAACAGCAUCCACCAUCCAGCCAGGAGCUUCUCACUCCCUCAUUCCCCAUAUCCAAAGGAUAGUCACUAGUUAGGGUAUAGUUAAAACUGCUAUAACAAAGAGUCCCAAAAAUUCAGUGGCUUAACUGACAACCCCAAAAUACAUUCUCCAGGACUGCGGGGGCAUCUCUGCCAACCUCAACAUGUGAGUUCCAUCUCUGUGUCCAGUGUGGCCCAGGCAGCUCCCACUGUUGUGUCUGAAUCUCAUCUAUUGGGAAGGGGAGAGGGGUGGGGUGGAAGCACAACUCCUUUUCUGUUUAAGGACACCACUAACUUCUGCUCAGAAGUUGGCCAGAUGCAAGGAAGGCUGGGAAAAGUAGUCUGUAGCCAUAUACCCAGCUAAAACGUUUUUCAUAAAGAAAGAUGGAAGAUGGCUAUUAAUGUAAGGCUAGCGGUCUAUGUCAUCGGUGGACACAUCUUGUCAGUGCCACCUCUCAAAUUUUGCUUCAUUCCAUCACUUCCACUGCAUGCCGAGCGCUGUUUCCUGGCCUCUAGGAUAGUCCCUCUCUAAUCAACCUACCAAAUAGCUGCCGGAGAUAUCUUUCUAAAAUGCAAAUUGGAUCAUAUAACUUUGUUUUUAAAAGCCAUGCAGUAGUUCCCUAUUGAUUCCAAGAGAAGGGCCAAACUUCUUUGCAUGAUGCAUGGGCUGGGUCUUGUCAGAAUGCCUCCCACCCCCACUCCAGCUCAACUGCCUUGUCAGCCAGGAGAAUUCAGGUCAUUUUCUCAGGCUGAGUUUCCAUAUUGCCUGCCUGACCACACUGUUGCCGCCCCACUGCAAUGCUGGCUCCAUUCCCACUGCAGCCUCUACUGGACUAUUCAUUUCUGGCCACUUGCCACCUGCACUAGGGGCUUCCUGUGAAGCCAAGGCACUUGGUUUUUCUGGCAUAGGGCUGGAUAAGAGCUCACCCAGCAAUGAACAGACCCUCACGAGCUGCCCAAUCAUUUCCAAGGUGUGGAGCCUGAGGGUCCUGACUUACCACUUUCAAUGUCAUUACCAGGUGCUCAGCCAACUGACUGUGGGCCUGGAAUGUGGGAACCUCCAGAUGCCUUUAUUGAGUUAGUCGUUUGAUCAUCUACCUUCCAGGAGAGACGUUAAACUCUGUGAAACUCACGGGAAGCUAUAUGGGCCAGGCUAGUCCCAGUGCCUAUCGGGUACUUAGAGAGCAUCUAUGAAACGAAUAGAAGCAGGGCAACAUUUCCCCCAGAUCGAUACUUUUUGCAUGCCCCAGUUCAAAUCUCAGCUCUAUCACCUAGCAGCUGAGUGACCUUGGGCAAAUCACUGAACCUCUCCAUGCCUUUGUUUCCCCUGCAAGAUGGGGAUAGUGAUCGAGUCAUUAUGAGGACUAAAUGACUUAGUAUUUGUAAAACAUUUAUAACAGUGCCUGGCAGAGUAGAUGCUUGUGUUUGCUAAAUAAAAAUAGAGUUCAGGCGUGAACAGGUUGGUCUUUGACUACUUUUCCAGUCUCAUCUCCCCCUGACACUGCUCUCUGCCACCAGCUCAUAGCCAACUCUCCUUCUAGACUGAGCUCCUAACUAUUUCAACAUAUGCCAGAAACAUUCAUGUCUCUGGGCCUUUGCACAUGCUGUUUUCUGUGUGGAAGACCUUCCCCACCUUGUUCACCAGUGAACCCCUAUUCAUCCUUCACAGUUCAGUUCAAACUUUACUUCUGGCAGCCUCCCUGGACUCUCAGAGACAGGUAGCCCCUUCUUCCCCUGGGCCUCCAUUUCACCCCACUUUCAUGCAUGUCUGAGCUCCUCACUGCACCAAAACUCCUUGAAAGCAGGGCUAUCUCUUAUACACCUCAGUAUUCCUAUGCCUCUUGGAAGGCCUGGCACGCCGUGGGCAUAAAAGAUGUUUGUUGAAUCAAUGAAUGACGAAUGAAAUAUAUUUAUAACCUUCACUUUAGCCACUUCCGUAAUACAAUAGAAUAUCGUGUCAGAUCCCAUGACAAGUGAAAAUGCACCACAGUUGACCAGGAGGUGCUGUAAUUAGCCGACUGUCGCUGUUCCACCAGCUAGGAGAGGAAAAUUCACUUCCCAUUACCAAGUAGACUACAGAUUUCCAACUUAUGCAUAAAAAUAUGAAAGCCUCAAAAACUCCCCAGGGACAUUCUUAGGACUCAGUGUUUACCGAGUAGUCCUGCGUGCCCAGCUCUUAGCCAGGGACUUGACUGUGGCAUCAGACUGAGUCCUCAUCCCUAUACAUGGGGACCGUGAUGCUUGGAGAGGAAGACAGAGGUAUUGUGAAACAAGGUCAUCUCUCAACUGGCUGAGAAGAGGUGUGAGUUCUAGUCCUGGCUCUGCCCCAGUGGGCUGUGUGACCCAAGUGCCUCCAUCUGGGGAAAACCCUGUAAAAUCCAGGGUUUGGAUCCAUGAUCAGUAAGGUUUCUCCCAACUGGGGCAGUUUCUGAAUCUGAGAGGCUGAGUGGGGUGGGGGAGGGAUGUAGUAGUGGGAAUUGACAAGAUGAACUUACAGGGGAAGGGAAGCAACUCAUUAAAUGUCAACAAAAGAAGAGUUGCAGGCCGUGAAUAGAAUCACUUUCCCCUCCUCCAGUGUUCACUUAACCCUCACCUCCCAUUUAGAAAGGUGAAUAAAUACAGGCGCCAGAGGUUUAGGGGCUCAUCCAGUUCAUCCAGGCCUCAAUUUAUAGAGAGGUCAAUGACUGACCUAGGGUCACUCAGGAAUAUUUCAGUUUCCCAGCUCCUGAGUCAGCGCUCCCCACUACAGCUCACCCCUUCCCCUGCAGCCUGGACUCCUCCAGUCUGGGGAGCCAGGCAGGACUCUGAACCAAUCCUGUGCAUGUGAAAUGCCACCAUUGCCAGUGGGUAACCAAUGAGCCAGCUCAAACCUUCUGUCCUUUGGCUGGGGAUGGGUGGAGUCCCUUCCAGAGUGGGCAUCUGGUGAGCAGAGACCCUUCAGGGGCAUGCAGCUAUCACACAGUACCCUCUUCUUCUGCCAUCUCUGGUCUUAAUGUUCCCUCUACCCCCAAGCAAGUAGGUAGGAGAGCCCUUAACACAUGUAUUCACAUGUACCUACAUGCAUACAUACAUAUGCACAUGCACACAUAUAUCGACACACAUAAACACACACACACAGGCACACACCUACACAGCCUCACAUAAGAGUCUCACAGCUAAGCAAGGCUGUCAGAGCUGCUCCUUCGCCUUUGCUGUCAAAACUGCUGUGGAGGUGGCAUCAUGCCAGGCGCCUAGGAGAACCGAAGAGCCAACUAGUGGAAAAUGUACUUGCUUGAUAAAUGCCUCCUGAGGAGAGCAGAGGAAGAGAGAGGGCAGGGGAAAGGAAGCUACAGCUGGGCUAGCUGAGCGCCCAUGUGUGAAUGUGUGUACACGUGUGUAUGUAUAAGGCCCAGGCACCAGGGGACCAGUGGCCCUCAGAAAGACAAGGGUGGACCAGCUCCAGUGGCAUAGUGGUUAAGUUCCGUGUGCUCCACUUCAGCAGCCCUGUUUGGGGGCAUGGACCUAC
Non-coding RNA from Equus caballus (horse), 5104 nucleotides. Lineage: Eukaryota; Metazoa; Chordata; Mammalia; Perissodactyla; Equidae. The record is from RefSeq and is a predicted model, not a curated record.